Molecule: transfer RNA, 76 nt
Filed under: Bacillota bacterium
Lineage: Bacteria; Bacillati; Bacillota
Description: tRNA-Arg
Rfam family: tRNA
About the family: Transfer RNA (tRNA) molecules are approximately 80 nucleotides in length. Their secondary structure includes four short double-helical elements and three loops (D, anti-codon, and T loops).
Source: RNAcentral
GGGCCCGUAGCUCAGCGGAUAGAGCAGCGGUUUCCUAAACCGCGUGUCGGAGGUUCGAUUCCUCUCGGGCCCACCA